AAAAAAAUCUAUCUUAUUUUCAAUCAAUAAUAUCACCUUCACAUUUUUUAAUAGCCUUACUUUCAUUACAAAAAUGUCUAUUCGAACGUCCGGUUACGGUGUGCAUGAAGAUAUACGAUUAUGUGAAGUCUAUAUGGAGAUUUCUCGAGAUUCUAUUAGAGGUGCGCAACAAAGUUCAACUUCAUUUUGGAAUCGAGUUGAGGAAGCGUAUAACAAAGAUAAAAAUGAAAAUUGGGAGGAACGCAACGUUAGAUCGGUGGGUGUUCGUGUUCGUACUAUAGAGUAGGCAAUCCGAAAAUUAAAUGGGUGCAUGAGACAAAUCGAAGCAAUGAAUCCUAGUGGAGCAUCGAAUGAAGAUAUUUUCCCCUCUUCCUCUCCCUCCCGCCAAAACAUCAGUCCCCACCUCUCUUAUUAUACGCAACCCUUCUCAAUAAUCUCUGCAAAACCCUUCUCUUCAGAAUUACGAUUAUCCCGCUCCAAUCCCCGAAUUUGCAUAAUCAGAGACAUAUGGCUGGAAUUUUAAAAAAAUUGUCUAAAGAUAAGGAUCCAUCAGGCGAUGAUCUUGUUAGAGUAGUCGAUUUUUCCUCUGAGGUAAAUGUUUUGUUUUUGGUAGUCAUUUUAUGUUAUAAUUUGCGUAUCGUGUUUGAGAAAAUGUGCAAGUGAAUGAAGCUAUAUGCAAUUUCAUUGAAGUUAAUUGAGUAUCAGAAACUUAUAUUGGCAUCACCAAGUAAAUUGUUUUGCUUACAAUUUGGUGGACACAUUUUUUCAUCAAGAAUGUGAUAGUUAUAGACUUAGAUAUGGUUUAAAAUACACAAGAAUUGGGGAGGAAUGAGCUCGAGUAUCAAUAAAGAGACUCUUGUCACUCGCAAGUCUAGAUGAGCUUCUUACAUCCUCAAAAUAAAAAUUUCAAGCUAUAUUGAUAAUUUAUAUCUUUAAAAUUUAGGUGUGAAUCAAAAAUAACUAAUUAAGGUAAUGGUUGUGACACGUCAUUUGUGCAACAAACUAAUGAGUAAUGAUACAUUUUCAAUGGUAGAAAAUUUUGAUGAUAAAAAUUAAACAAACAUUAAUAGUCUAUUAUCACAAAUAUCUCAUUGGUUUAUUGUAUAAAUGACGUGCCACAACCGUUGUGUGUAAUAAUCACUCGUAUAUCAAUUGAAUUUGUUGAAUUUCAUAUUCUACAGUUUAAAAACAAAUAAUUGCAUAAAUAUGAUAAUUUUGUAAUGGUUAUUUUUAUUCUUUGUUGAACUCGAGCCGAGUUCGAUCUCGAGUGUCGUUCGAGUUUGAAUUCGAGCUUGAGAAUUUAAGCGCGUUCAAGUUUGAGCUCUAGCUUGUAUGACACACUCGAGCUCGAGUUCAAGCUUGGCAUAACUCGGGCUCGGCUAAGCCCAUUUACACCCCAAAUUGGAUGUCCUGUGUAUGUGUAAUUUAUGUUUCAGACUUGAAACUUCAACCAACUCAUUUAUUUCCAACAUUCUAACAUGGAAGCAGAAAGACAUUCGUUUAGUCUUAAAUUCAUCUUCAUUCAAUAGCAUACCCUAUAAAUGUCCACAGAACCAUAGACAAACAUUUAAGGUGAACAUUCUCACAAUUGAAAGUAAUUCAUGCAUUGGGAAUGUUUGCUAACAUUUCCUACAUCCCACAGCUAAUUGCAGUUAAUGGGCCUAACUGCAAGUUGUUUCAUCAUGUUUUAUGGUCAAUUUUAUUCUCAUUUUGAUGUUACUUGUGGUCCUGGUUUCGGCUUUACUAAUUCUUGAAAUGUGUUUGGAUUACACCCGUAGGAUCACGUUCACUUGUCUGAUUUAACGAUUAAAUGUUUGAGCGAUCAAGCAAAUUUAGUUGUGAUGAUUGGGUGAGGCGUUAUAUAUUAUAAUAAGCUUGUUAAACAAAAACACUAUUUAGUUUCAUGUUGCAGCCUGCAACCUUUUUAUCUUCAUGUUUAGACCAGAAAACUAUUUGAAAAAUAAAUUAAUAAGGAAGAGGUUGACGGUCUGGGAUUACAGCCAAGAAAGAGCUACUCGUGAUUGACUCAAAAAAUACUCGAGUUAAAGCCACUUGAGCUGUUAAAAUACUUGGCUCGAUAGACUCACGAGUUUAAUUGAGCUUUAAUUAAUUUACUUUGUUAUUCUUUAUAAUUACAUAUAUUUACAAUAAUACUUUAAUUAUUAUAUCAAAUUUAGUUUUUAAAUAUCUGUUACAUAUAACUGAGUCGAGUCAAGCUGGAAUCUCAAUCAUUUUGGCAGGGUUUGUACUUGAUUCAACUAGAUUACAGCCCUAUUCCAUAAAACAUUCAUCGGCAGCUAAAUCUAGGACUGAAUUUCCCUUUAUCGGAAAACAUAUGCUUUGCCUUUGUGGUUCAACGUACAGGCUUGUAAAUCAGUCUUGGAAACAAGAUGGCAAUGCCAAUCAGUAUCAAUUCGUAAUCACUUGCUACGUUUAUUGGCUGGGAAGCCUGUGAUGAUAAUAAUCAGCUACUGAAGCCAAGAUCCUAGCUUCAAUAGUUCUUUCUACCUAUGAAUCACCGACACUUGUUAUAGAUGCCGUAUGCAAUGGGGGACGCGGCAAAAUAAGUGUUCCAAUAAUUUUUACAGUCAAUAGGAGGAAACAUGCUGGGAGUGUUCAAGUGUUUAAAACUUAUAACUACAGUUAAUGUUAAUGAAUUAAACUUCUUAUGCAAAUAUAAUGUUAAUUUUCCGUAUAUCCGCCGUGUCUGUUUCUUUAUUUUUAAAUAUGUUAUCCGCUGUGUCCGUACCCGUAUCUGUUUUCGUACCCAUGUCGGUGCUUCAUAGCUUACUAGCUGAUGAAUAUUAUAAGCUAUUCAUUCAA
Molecule: long non-coding RNA, 2823 nt
Organism: Mercurialis annua (annual mercury)
Lineage: Eukaryota; Viridiplantae; Streptophyta; Magnoliopsida; Malpighiales; Euphorbiaceae
Exons: 3
Source: RefSeq, a predicted model, not a curated record